Oreochromis aureus is the source of this 1142-nucleotide long non-coding RNA. Lineage: Eukaryota; Metazoa; Chordata; Actinopteri; Cichliformes; Cichlidae. The record is from Ensembl.
UAGAACCACCUUGAAGUAUACCCAUCCCCUAAAGAGGGGAUGGGUAUACUUACGUCCCCCUGCUUUGCUGCCUAAAUGUUGGAGUUUUCCUCAGUGGACACUACUUAUGAAGGGAGUCAUAAAGCUGCUGGACAACAGCACUUCAUUAAACAGUGACGGACAGAAAUAUGGUCUCCACUUCAUCAGACAUCACCUAGACAGAGCUGGAUGAGACCAGCACAAACAGCAGCCUAACCGACGAAGAUGAUGGAUCCAUGGGGUCAGGAAAGCCAGAAGCAGAGGAGCUGGAAAGGUACCUUUCAUGUCCAUUCACUGGAGGUGUGGAUCUAUUGCAUGGCUUUCCUCACAUCAGGAAGCUUUCGCUCAAAGACAGCUCUUCCUGCAUCUGCAGCCUGUGAGAGACUUUCUAGUCAUGCAGGACUCCUGUUCACUGCCAAACGGUCACAGCUUCACAGCAAGAACCUUGAGAGCCAACGGCUGCUGAAGCUGAACCACCAUUUCACUGACUGAAGAAACAAUUUAUGGUAAAGUGAGCCAUACACAUAUGUACAUCCACAUAGUGGAAAUUUGUAUUUGUCUUUUAUAAUUAGUUUUACUGUGAUUUCAGUGUUUGUGAGUGUAGUUUUUACAUUUUUACAUAUUACAUUGUGUUAAUCCACUGUCUAUACUUCAGGGUAUUUUAGUAUAGAAAGAACAUUUGAAAGUUUUGUUAGAAUGUCUAUUCCUGUUGAAUUUUAGCACAGAUGUGGUGUGUGUGUGUGUGUGUUGUUUUUUGUUUUUUUCAAUUCCUGCUGUCCGCCUUGGGAAUAAACUUUUCCUGAUUAUACCUGUUGCAUCUCUGUGUCAUUUGUUUCUGAUUUACUUAAUCCCUCCUUCUAUUUAAAAGAACCACCCCUAGUAUGACAUUCUGGCGCAUCAGCUGUAGUUAUGUUGAAGUUGCCUCGUUCUAAUGUUUUCUCUGAGGCUGCUGUAAAUGCGAACAUAUUUACUGUGGGUUUUGCUUGAAAAAGCUUUACGUUGUGAAAAACUGAAAUCUUGGAAUUAGAAUUGUUGUGCCUUAUUUUGUGGAUCUUUUUACACAUAUUCCUUUUGAAAAUACUAAAAUUUGUAUAUUUAUUUUUGUUUGUCUGAUAACAUUUAUC